GGGCUCGUAGAUCAGCUGGAAGAUCGCCACACUUGCAAUGUGGAGGUCUCGGGUUCAAAUCCCGACGAGUCCA
Molecule: transfer RNA, 73 nt
Filed under: Thermoplasmata archaeon
Lineage: Archaea; Methanobacteriati; Thermoplasmatota; Thermoplasmata
Also listed under: 1 other name
Description: tRNA-Ala
Rfam family: tRNA
About the family: Transfer RNA (tRNA) molecules are approximately 80 nucleotides in length. Their secondary structure includes four short double-helical elements and three loops (D, anti-codon, and T loops).
Source: RNAcentral